This 234-nucleotide long non-coding RNA is filed under the name Setaria italica (foxtail millet). RNAcentral's name for it is "long non-coding RNA (SITA_LNC006158)". Lineage: Eukaryota; Viridiplantae; Streptophyta; Magnoliopsida; Poales; Poaceae. The record is from RNAcentral.
AACGCCGCCCCUGCCACCACGCUGUCCGCCCAUGCCGUACGACGGCCGGGAAUGCCUCCUCCACCACUCGCUGCUCCGCGUUGGCCGCCGCACGCCGUAGAUCCGGUGGCCGGAGGGCCGGAUCCGGUCGUCAAGACCCGGGAUCCGCCCCGCGCCGCUGGACUCACUGCCACCGCCGCCAACCCGGCCGGCACAGCCGCUCCGCGCUGCUCCCCCGCCCGGGACCAACGCGCG